Molecule: long non-coding RNA, 2235 nt
Organism: Phyllostomus discolor (pale spear-nosed bat)
Lineage: Eukaryota; Metazoa; Chordata; Mammalia; Chiroptera; Phyllostomidae
Exons: 3
Source: RefSeq, a predicted model, not a curated record
GUCUUUCCUCCAGUCUGAGGAGGGUGAAGUCCUGUCUCCACCAACCAUGCUUUCUGUCCUGUGGCUUUAGCUUCUCUCUCUCACUGUUCCCUUCUCACAGUCCUCCCACAUGUGUGGGCUUCCCCUCUUAAAACCAACCCCAAAACACAGACACCCCUUUUCUAACUAGAGCCCUAGAGUACUGAGUCUCCUGCCUCCACAUCUUAGUUAUUCUAAGUGUCAUCCACAUUUGAAAGCGUAUCACGUUUAAUUUUUCUCACACCAGGAUCCUCCCUAUACACUCCCUUUAGUCCAGCACACCACAGGGUCUGCAGGUUUCCCAAGGGACCAUUUGUUUACAGUUCCUAAACUGAUUCCCUACCCCACCCCUGUGCAGUUGGAAAAUGCCUAUUCUUUUCUAAAAAAAAAAAAAAAACCUCUUUUCUAUUCAAUCUCCACUGCAUAGCCUUCUUUGGGGAGGUAGGAAGUUAAUCAAACAAUCACAUAAUGUCUUAUAAGUAUUUUAAGACUUAAAUGAGAUAAUAUACACACUAAAUACUUAACAUAGUGAUGGACAGAGUAAUGCUUGAUAAAUUGUAGAUAUUAUUAUUAGCCCCUUAGACAGGCUGUUUUUUUUAUCUCUAAAUGUUCACUAUUGUCUCCAGGACAUCAUGCUAUACCUGUCAAAGCAGGUGAGAACUUUACCAAUCCACCAGAUUCUAAAGGCAGAAAUGCCUUUCCAGCCAUAUGUCUUUAACAAAGACAUCCAGAUGUCUUUGACAUCUAGUAGGGACUCAAUUAACAUCUGAUGAAUGAGUAAAUGACAAUACACUUGCAUGAGGACAAGGCAAUUAUUAUGUAUUAUAAUUCACAGAAAUAUACCAGUUCUCUGCAGAUGGUUCUGGCCUUUCAGCAGUGAUAUCACAUUUCAAACCUCCAAUUUACCUCCAUGAAAUUUGGAACAGGUUAGAAUGCCAAAGUGGGAAUCAACACUCCCUGACACUGGCUCCCCAGUGGGGAGAAUGACCGUGCUGGAUCAUGGGGGCCUAGUGAUCUCUUGGCUCAGGCUGGCACGGCUGUCCUUGGUGGGCCAGGGUGGCCUUGAGCAGCCAGCCUCUCUGGGUUCAGCUGUGGGCCAGCACUGAAACCGAACAAAAGGAGCAUUUAUGCCACUACUCACAAAGCAGGCCCUUGGGCAAGGAUCAGGGGACUUGCCUGUCAGCUUCUUUUUGCCCCAGACACAGCACGGCUACACCUCUGCCUUUAGGAACUGGGGUAAUGUCAGCAGCGGAGGGACAGAGAGGAAAGCUACUCUAUGGGGAUUCAGUUGUUUUCUGAAUCUACUUUAGGGAAAACAGAGAAUGGAAUCUCCCUGUGGAGACCUUUGCUGAAGCUGGUGCCUGGCAAAGCUGGGCUCCGAACUUCAAGGAUGAUCACCCAAGAGGAAAUGGCACCUGCUAUAUGCUGCUUUGACAUCUGCCCAUCUGGUUUUUUGUAGUUUUAUUUUUAGCCCUAAACUGAUUCAAAAUGCCAUUCUAGAGAAGCUAUGAGCUCUGUAGUGUUUUAGCCAAGGAAAGUCCCUCUGAAACAGAACCGAGGGGGCAUGUGGUUGGGGGCUAAGAGUGGUGCUCUGCACUAGGAGAUGUCUCACACGUCUUUCCAACCUCAAAGCCGAGGCCUCAUCUAGGUUCCCAGUUUAACAGUGUGCUUCUCAUUUCACCCCCCAAACAUCAAAUCUCCCUGUGCUCUUACCAUCAGAGUACUUUUUCAGGGUUAGAGACCCUGACUUCUCAAUUGUUUUCCUGAAUUCAGUGAGAUGGGCUGGACACUAGUAGGAGGAGCUCUCAGGACUGUCUGGAAUGCUGUCACAAGGUGGAUGUCCCCUGCCUUUCUGAGUCACCAAUGAAGAGUGGGCACACUGAAGGGCGGUGGCUGCCCAAAGCUCAGGGCACUGGUGAGUGAGCGAGCAAAUGGCAUAUCAUUCAUUCAAUCAGUUCUUCAAUGGAGGCCUACUAGUACCAGUUGCUAUGCUAAACCCCUCAUUUCAUUUUAAUGGGACAAAGUGUCACUCAACUCCUACUGUGCACCAGGCUCUGCAAGGCUGUGGGAAUAAAGAAUGGACGAGAUGGACAAGACUGAGGCUGCUUCUGAGUUUAGGAUCUAGCUAGAGUCUAAAGGUGUGCUGUUCAAUGUGGUAACCACAUAACAUGUAUAGGUAUAGACAGUUAAAGAACUAACAUGCACAACCCAUGGACU